This 390-nucleotide unclassified non-coding RNA is filed under the name fungal sp. RNAcentral's name for it is "partial internal transcribed spacer region". The stretch from base 1 to 46 matches the Rfam family "Eukaryotic small subunit ribosomal RNA", at positions 1786 to 1831 of the family's 1831-position model. Lineage: Eukaryota; Fungi. The record is from RNAcentral.
AAGUCGUAACAAGGUUUCCGUAGGUGAACCUGCGGAAGGAUCAUUAACACUUCUAUAACUUAUAAUUUAUUAUAAAUUAAACCCCAAACCCCUACUUUUUCGUAUUGUUGAAAUUUAUACAGUACAACCAAAAUAACCUCUUAAUUUAACCCAAUAACACCUAACAACAUAACUAAUUGACUAAUUUCAGAUUGUACCUCUUCUUAAGCAAAUAUGUAUUCUCCUCGUUUAGCAAUAAACGUUGGAUCUGAUUUAUAUAUAGCAAUAUAUAUAUUUCUUGAGUCGUUUGUGACGAGUUGAGUCCGAUCGCUUUAUUGAUAUCACUUCAUUUCUUUGAAUUGAAAUUAAUUAACAAUAUUACAACUCUAAACAAUGGAUAUCUUGGUUCUC